UUGCCUCAUAAGUUUUUGUGUGAAAAGAUGAUUAGAAACUGAGACCUUCUCCAAACUCCUGCUUUCACCUAAGCUGGACCAGGUCUACAGUCACCUGCUGGCUUCAUAACACAUUGCCAGUUUAAGCAACUCACAAGUGUAUGUGGACAUAAAAACAAGCUUCAUAUAUUGUGUGUCAUAGGGGACUGCCCUACCUGCCAAGGGUCUCACUGGAUCUCUGUACUCAUUUCCUGUUGCCAGCUGGUGGACAAUAUGGUGCUAAGAACUCAAGAAGUUGGUCCUCACGUUGAACCUCAGAGGUCACCAAACCUUUCUGGAUAGCUGCUAGGGAGUUUCUGGAGGUGCUCAAUAGUGACAUAUGUCAAGUUGAGAAGGGACAGCUGAUCUUCCAGGGUAGAGAUGGAUCCACUCCCCACUCUCAUAAAGAAGAUGUGGGUUUGUUUGACCUUCACUAUAUAGGAAAAAGCCUCACAAAUUCUUCAGCCCCUUGGAUGGAGGCUCAGCCUCCACACUGUAAAAUGCGGACAUAAUAACUUUUACAUAAUUUGAAAGGUUUCAUAAGAAUUGUCCCCCUAAUAUAUAUGAAGUGCCAUCCAAAUUAGAUUAACACAAGAGGAUUAUAUAAACACAGUGUAUUAUUUUUAUUAUUCUCAACUUAUCACAAUGGUCACCAUCCAACUUCUCAGUAGGAGUUAGGUUAAAGCUCACAGCUCACAGCACCCGUGGAGGCCAAAUCAUGCUGGGAUGGACCCUCUGUAUUUGCAGCCCAAACGUGUGUCUGUGAGCUGCAUGUGUUAAAACGUGUUUGCAUUUGGGAUGGGGACUGAGGAAGCAUCUGGGGACUGGACAGAAGAGUUUCCCCAGGAUGCAGUACUUUGAACAAACCAUGGAUUCCAGAAAAGACAUCUGUUUCCAUCAAGAACUAACAUGGAAUAAUAACAAAGAAGA
Molecule: long non-coding RNA, 948 nt
Filed under: Homo sapiens (human)
Lineage: Eukaryota; Metazoa; Chordata; Mammalia; Primates; Hominidae
Description: HSALNT0370101
Source: RNAcentral